UUGGAAUUUAUGUCCUACGAGGAAGGAAAACCCUGUUGGGCAGACAUCUCAAAAGGCUUACACACAGCAUGGGGACUGCGCGGGAAAACACAAGCGCUUGUGUGAUGGUGACUGCGGCAUGAGUUGUAUCUUAGUCUGUACCUGGAAAAAUGAAGACAUGUAGUAUCAAAACCAAUAGCACAGGGGCCCAUGCCAGAGAGAGAGAGUGAUCCCCCCUGUCCAUUGGCUGGUUGGUCAAGAUCUAGCACAUCCCAACACGGUAGCUGCAAAGACUCAGCAGUGGAGAUCAGGUGCCACCUCUUAAUUGAGGUGUGAGAAGAAAUAAGAACGCUCGUGUCACCAGGCUAUAGGAAAACCUCUGGAGAUCAGCUGUCCUUCCUAUUUACACCCCUGUCUAGCUUGCCACUCCCCUAUUGAUGGUUUGCCACACCCCUGGAUUGUUGGUCAAAGCCCCUGCCUCAGUAAGACCAUUAAUUGUUUUAAGGAAGCUUGAGGUCAGCCUCAUGGGGUGGACAUCCAUGUUGCUGCUUCCAAAUGAAUGCACUUCAACUCUAUGGGAGGCCCAGGGACCUCAGGAAAGGGGCUAUAUGUGUAGAUAAUUCAUUCCAAACUAAACUUUUAGAAAAGGGCAAUAUAAAGUGGCCAGUCCAUGGCUUUCGCACAAAAGUAUUAAGGAUUAUGAGUUGAUGAAAGAAUGGCAUUAUCAUUAUUAUGGUGGUAAUAUGAGGCAUUGAGGAUGGGACCAACCAGUGGCAUAAAUAUUGGGGGUAUAGGUGGUGCAAUCCAAGGUGGGGUCCUUGGACGUAUGGAAUAUGGGUUGUGCCUCUGUUGUGAGGGUUGAGCCUCUGUUUUCCCUACAGAAAGUCGUGUUACUUGAGUCAGUUCCGGGGCCAUCAGAUGCUGUAGAUAUGGCAGCACCCUGUUUCACCUUCCCUGUUGAUGAGGUAUCACUCACUGCAGCUGUUAUUAGAGACAGCAGAAGUUGUAAGCAUUGAAGACAGCAACAAACAUAUUUCCACAUUCCAGUAGGAAACAGUUGGCUCAAUGAGAAGAACUUCUGCCUUGCAGUUCCAUAGUCCUGAGUUUGAUUCUGGCUUGGGCAUGAUCUACAAUGAGUUUAUAUUUUCUCCCCGUGUCUAUGUGGGUUUCCUUUAGCUUCCACCAAAACAUCCAUGCAGGUUAACUGGCUCCUGAUAAAACAGGAGACAAACUGAAAACCAAUAUCUGGAUUUGAACAGCCAAUGGGGUGAUCCCAACUUUAUUGGCUCACGACACUACACACAUGAUCAAACGUUUCAGGACCCAAUGGCCGUUCCUAAUUGAGGGCCAUUUGGGUCUAAAAGGUUUUGGAUGUGGUUUUAAAUUUGUCACAAGUGUAAUGUAUAUUGCUGGUGCGUGGCUAGGCCAGUACCAGUACCUGCUUCUGCAAUCCUGAUAAGA
This is a long non-coding RNA of Xenopus laevis (African clawed frog), 1440 nucleotides long. RefSeq lists it as uncharacterized. The transcript has 3 exons. Lineage: Eukaryota; Metazoa; Chordata; Amphibia; Anura; Pipidae. The record is from RefSeq and is a predicted model, not a curated record.